Molecule: small RNA, 67 nt
Filed under: Methylotenera versatilis 301
Lineage: Bacteria; Pseudomonadati; Pseudomonadota; Betaproteobacteria; Nitrosomonadales; Methylophilaceae
Description: int-alpA RNA
Rfam family: int-alpA RNA
About the family: Acidobacteria (1 example), Planctomycetes (1 example), Proteobacteria. Environment (Lake Washington)
Source: Rfam by way of RNAcentral
GCCACACCUAGCCCGACGGGGCGAACCUCGCAACCCUAAGCGAAUGGUGUGGCUUCUUAAUUUAGGG